CCCUUAGAUGUUCUGGGUCGCACGCGCGCUACACUGAUGCAUUCAACGAGUCUAAAACCUGCUCUGAUAGGGGUGGGUAAUCUUUUGAAUGUGCAUCGUGAUUGGGAUAGAUGAUUGCAAUUUUUCAUCUUCAACGAGGAAUGCCUAGUAAACGCAAGUCAUCAGCUUGCAUUGAUUACGUCCCUGCCCUUUGUACACACCGCCCGUCGCUCCUACCGAUUGAAUGAUCCGAUGAAUAUCAUGGAUUGAGGAUGCAAGCAGGUUCGCCUGUCUUCAUCUUCGAGAAGUGAAGUAAAUCUUAUCAUUUAGAGGAAGGAGAAGUCGUAACA
This 329-nucleotide ribosomal RNA is filed under the name uncultured eukaryote. RNAcentral's name for it is "partial 18S ribosomal RNA". It matches the Rfam family "Eukaryotic small subunit ribosomal RNA", at positions 1470 to 1796 of the family's 1831-position model. The record is from RNAcentral.